GAUGAACGCUGGCGGCGUGCCUAAUACAUGCAAGUCGAGCGAACAGAUAAGGAGCUUGCUCCUUUGACGUUAGCGGCGGACGGGUGAGUAACACGUGGGUAACCUACCUAUAAGACUGGAAUAACUCCGGGAAACCGGGGCUAAUGCCGGAUAACAUUUAGAACCGCAUGGUUCUAAAGUGAAAGAUGGUUUUGCUAUCACUUAUAGAUGGACCCGCGCCGUAUUAGCUAGCUGGUAAGGUAACGGCUUACCAAGGCAACGAUACGUAGCCGACCUGAGAGGGUGAUCGGCCACACUGGAACUGAGACACGGUCCAGACUCCUACGGGAGGCAGCAGUAGGGAAUCUUCCGCAAUGGGCGAAAGCCUGACGGAGCAACGCCGCGUGAGUGAUGAAGGUCUUCGGAUCGUAAAACUCUGUUAUUAGGGAAGAACAAAUGUGUAAGUAACUGUGCACGUCUUGACGGUACCUAAUCAGAAAGCCGCGGCUAACUACGUG
RNAcentral lists this ribosomal RNA (497 nucleotides) under uncultured bacterium. RNAcentral's name for it is "partial 16S ribosomal RNA". It matches the Rfam family "Bacterial small subunit ribosomal RNA", at positions 28 to 507 of the family's 1533-position model. The record is from RNAcentral.